Molecule: ribosomal RNA, 746 nt
Filed under: uncultured Peptoniphilus sp.
Lineage: Bacteria; Bacillati; Bacillota; Tissierellia; Tissierellales; Peptoniphilaceae
Description: bacterial SSU rRNA
Rfam family: Bacterial small subunit ribosomal RNA
Source: RNAcentral
GACGAACGCUGGCGGCGCGCCUAACACAUGCAAGUCGAGCGAUGAAAGUUGUUUUGAUCCUUCGGGUGACGAACUUCUGGAUUAGCGGCGAACGGGUGAGUAACGCGUGAGGAACCUGCCCCUUACAACGGGAUAGCCUCGGGAAACCGGGAUUAAUACCGUAUAAGACUCCGACAUCUCAUGAUGAUGAAGUCAAAGCGUUAGCGGUAAGAGAUGGCCUCGCGUCUGAUUAGCUGGUUGGCGGGGUAACGGCCCACCAAGGCGACGAUCAGUAACCGGCCUGAGAGGGUGAACGGUCACAUUGGAACUGAGACACGGUCCAAACUCCUACGGGAGGCAGCAGUGGGGAAUCUUGCACAAUGGGGGCAACCCUGAUGCAGCGACGCCGCGUGAGCGAUGAAGGUUUUCGAAUCGUAAAGCUCUGUCCUAUGGGAAGAUAAUGACGGUACCAUAGGAGGAAGCCCCGGCUAACUACGUGCCAGCAGCCGCGGUAAUACGUAGGGGGCGAGCGUUGUCCGGAAUUACUGGGCGUAAAGGGUUCGCAGGCGGCAUGGCAAGUCCGAUGUAAAAGGCGAAGGCUCAACCUUCGUAAGCAUCGGAAACUGUCAAGCUUGAGUGAAGGAGAGGCAAGUGGAAUUCCUAGUGUAGCGGUGGAAUGCGUAGAUAUUAGGAGGAAUACCGGUGGCGAAGGCGACUUGCUGGACUUCAACUGACGCUGAGGAACGAAAGCGUGGGUAGCAAACAGG